RNAcentral lists this ribosomal RNA (387 nucleotides) under uncultured bacterium. Its description in RNAcentral is "bacterial SSU rRNA". It matches the Rfam family "Bacterial small subunit ribosomal RNA", at positions 30 to 417 of the family's 1533-position model. The record is from RNAcentral.
AUUGAACGCUGGCGGCAUGCCUUACACAUGCAAGUCGAACGGCAGCGCGGGGCAACCUGGCGGCGAGUGGCGAACGGGUGAGUAAUAUAUCGGAACAUACCCUAGAGUGGGGGAUAACGUAGCGAAAGUUACGCUAAUACCGCAUACGCACUAAGGUGGAAAGUGGGGGAUUCGCAAGAACCUCAUGCUCAUGGAGUGGCCGAUAUCUGAUUAGCUAGUUGGUGAGGUAAAGGCUCACCAAGGCAACGAUCAGUAGCUGGUUUGAGAGAACGACCAGCCACACUGGAACUGAGACACGGUCCAGACUCCUACGGGAGGCAGCAGUGGGGAAUUUUGGACAAUGGGGGCAACCCUGAUCCAGCAAUGCCGCGUGAGUGAAGAAGGCCU